Molecule: long non-coding RNA, 3861 nt
Organism: Passer domesticus (house sparrow)
Lineage: Eukaryota; Metazoa; Chordata; Aves; Passeriformes; Passeridae
Exons: 6
Source: RefSeq, a predicted model, not a curated record
UGUGCUGAGGGGCGUGGCUAUUGCUGAGGGCCUUGCCCAGCGCUGGAGUCCCAGAGUCACGAAAUCGCGGAAUUACGGAAUUUUUUUAGGUUGGGAAAAAGCUCUGAGGUCAUUGAAUCCAACCUGUCAAUGAACACCACUGUGGGGACAGCCCAUGGCAGUUCCAUCUUCCCUCAAGCACCUCCAGGGAUGGAGGCUCCACUGCCUCCCUGGGCAGCCCUUUCUGGGAAGGAAUUCCUCCUGAUGUCCAACCUAAACCUCCCCUGGCAUGGCUUAAGACUGUGAAAAAAAUCCCAAACUCGCCCACUGCUGUUCCCAUUCUAACAGUCUUUAAAAAUCAUCCUGUUAAUAUAAUCCAAAAACAGAUUAUUGCUAAUUUUUUACCCAUAUUGUGUUUCUAUUCCUUUCCCUCAACAGAGAAUUAUGCUCAAGAACAGUGUUUCUACCAGCUGAGACAACUUUUAGCAUUAAUUAAUACUACUAAAUCAAUAGUUUUAUUGCUGUUUUAUGAGUGGUAGGCUGUGGUAUUUCUAAGUAGGUAACAGUCUGCUCAAGUUUUUGCAUCUAAAAGAGUUUCUGAAAACAGGCAAAGGAGAUUUUUUGGUCCCAUGUGACACUGAACAAAGUGGCAUAUUCAUGUCAUAAAAACUGGUAAAUCCUUAACUGGUUUUUGAGACACAGCAGAGGACACAGAACCCUGACCUUCAAAGCAGCCUGGACCAUUUUUUUUCCACCAGAAUUUGGCAACACUGAUUAAUGUCCAGCACCAUCAGCACCAGGACUGAGUACAAGCUGCUGAAAGUUAUAAAGAUACAUAAAUCUCUACUCCAACAGAUAGUAAAGAAAGUAUUUUUUAAAAUCUCAAUAAUUAUCUCACUAUACAAGCUUUGGAAUGUUGAAGAAAAAAUAAAUUUUGGAAUCUGGCUAUAACUACUUCAAAGGACUCUACUGCUGCAACAAGCUGUUGGAGGAGCUCAGCCGUGCCUGUAACAUCACCCCUGGCACAGCUGAUCAUCACUUGUGAGCUGUGUCAGUACCUGGAAAUGGAGAGCCACGAGCCACUGCCCUAAAGAUCCUCUGAUAAAUAAAUUAUCCUCCCCAGCUGCUUCGUGGGAUUGCUCCUUCCAGUCGUUAAAGGAAAUGUGGUUCUUUAUUAACACCGAGCUGGAUUUUGUUUGUCAUCAUCACAGCCGUGCAGGUGUCUCUUUGUGGAUGGUGUUAAACAGCUCAGUUAACCCAUAAAAUCCCAUGCUCAACAAAGGGGGCUUUGUGCACUUAGCAGAGUGCAGGGGUGUGCUGUGAUUUCAGGGUGAGAGUGGGAGCAUCAGCUCAGAGAUUCAAGGGAGAAGUUUGGAGAAAUGCAGGCAUCUGUGUCCCAGGGAGAGAUUUGGAUUGGCAGCUUUCCAGCAACACAUGCCAUUGACAGAGUUUAAAUUUAUUUAGUGCCUGACAGCAGUACUUCAUUAAUUGCAGAAGCACUCCUUGUCUGAGCAUAUAAUCAGAAACAAGAUAGGCUCAUGGACAAUCUAAUCAAGCUCUGGGAUAAUUUGGGGAAGCUGGAAAGGACAGAGAGCUAUGAACAGUGUGCUUCAGAUUUGUCCAGAUCCUCUGGGGCUUUGGCUCUUCAUGUGGAACAGGACCACAGCUUCUCUGACAGAUUGUUUAUAACUUCUGGAAGUGAUUUUUCUGCUCUGGUGAACUUCACCACUCCUUCCAUUGUUUGGGAUAAGGCUCCAUUCCCAAGCUUUGCCUCUAUCAAAUCCAACAUUUGUACAUGCAGGGCUGUCUAUAAGGAAGGUUGGCUUCUAUCCUGAAGUUUUUCUGUGCAUUUUCAUUUAACUCUCAAGUGCAGAACUAAUUUGUCCAGUCCUUUUUCAGUGCUUGAAGCAAGUUCUGACCCUUUGAAAAGGACUAAUUUGGUUCACUACUUCCAAGGAGUUAUCUGUUAUUCUCCAGGGAGAGAACAAUGUGCCACGGUGUCCUCAGCUGCUUUAAACUCACAAUGUUCUCUGCUUCAGUCACUGUGAGCUCUUCAAGAACAGCAUGAACCUGGCAGUACUGACAGUACCCCGUGCUUUGUGCUUGAGGACCUUGGCGUGGCCUUUAACACCAAAACAGGCAUUUGGAGUUUGUGUUCCAAGUGUCAAAGCCAUUUUCUCUUUCCUUUCCAUUCCCACCUUUGUGCAUCAGCAGAUGUUCAGCGCAAAGCUGUCAGCUCUGUUACCCCAGAGCCAUAAGUGUUCAGCAUCCUACCCUGGAGUUGCACAGCUCAGUUCUCCUGCAAUCCUUUUCCUUGGAUUUCUCAGGGCAGGAAGGAGAUCCCAGUCAGGACCUGCCACUGCUGCAGGUGAACAACUUACCCUAAAACACCAAAACCCAUCUAAAAAUAUUUCAAGGGCAGAAUUCCUCAUAGCUGUUUGCUACUAUUAAAGAAUAAAGGAGCUGGGAAACCACUGAGGGUUUGAGGAACUUGAACACAGUAAUUCAAACACUGUUAUUAAAGUUUGCCAUUGAAAAUCUUCAUUAGGAUAUUGGUUUACUGUCUUCUGGCCUCAGUCAGGUUGAAUUAUGUUGUUUACCAUGGGGCAGAACCAUGACCAUGAGUAGAGAACUCUGUUGCUCAACUGCUUUGCAGCAUCCAGAUUUUUUUAAAAUGUGAUAUUGCUCAUCACACACUUGAGGGUGAAAAGAUUAAUUGCAACACUUUGCAUCAGCGUCAGGCUUACAAAGGAGGCAUCUGAACAGGGUUUCAGCUGAUGAAUAAAUAAUUAUGAGUCUAUUAGUAACCAAAUGGGUGACACACGUUAUUUAUUCCUGAGUCCAGCUGGCAACAGACAUCUCACGUCCAUGUGGUUAAACUCUUUUAUCUCUAAACAAGAGUGUGGGCAGCCCAGUUGCCCACUGGAAUAAUUCCUAGCCCAUAUUAUGCUCUAAAAUGUGACCAAGUAUUGUCUGGGACUGUGGUGGCUGACAUGGGGCAAAACCACACCAGGAACUGUGCAAACAGUUUCACAAGAGGCAGCAGAAGGAAAUGUCAAGCCUUGGGCUCUGGUGCAGUUUAGUUCUCAAUGUAGAAAGAGAUCUGAGUCUGAAGAUAUGUGUGGAAAAGUUUCCUUGGAGCCAACUGAACCUCUGGAUUAAACCUUUGGUUUGGGAUUGGUGAUGUUGAAAAUGCUGAGCAUGGAGUUGGUCAGUGCACCAACUCUCCUGAGCACUUCAUCAGUUCAUCAGCAUGAAUAUCCCUCUUUGUACCAAGUCCUGGGCUUUUACUUCUCCAUGGCAAACACGGAGAAAGGAUCUAUCAGGAUGCCUUUCAUGUUAUCUUUGCUGCUCUAGUUAACAGUCAGGUUUGCCUCUCUGCCUGGUUGGAAGGCUCAUCCCUUUCAGUGAUCUGAAAGUUCAAAGUUUGUCAUGUUUGGGAAUAUCCCAAGGGCCUACAUAGACAAAAUCCAUCAACUCCACACAGUAACAGGGAAUUCCAUGGCUGUGACAUCAACAGAUAAGAUACUGCAAGGUUCCCAUCUCCUUUGCCAGCAAGCACUUACCAUCAAGUUUAACAGCAAGGAACUCAUUUUCCACGAGCUCCAAACACACCAGUGAAAGUGUUGAAUUAAAGUGCUGGCCAUGAAAUGGGGAGUGGGGGAAGAAGGAAUGAGGACCUGCACCCUAAACAACACAGCUCAAGCAGGACCAAGUGCAAGGACCAGAGCAGCUCUCCCAGGGUACAUCCCCAGAUGAGGCUUCUCAGGUGCUUUUCCUUCUCACUUAGCAUUUCCUCCAACUGAGCAGUUUCCAGAGCAGCUUGACCCAAGCUCUCAGCUCCACUGUACCAGAGCUGGCCCUGAGCACAGACAGCUGAGU